Molecule: small RNA, 1629 nt
Filed under: Pan troglodytes (chimpanzee)
Lineage: Eukaryota; Metazoa; Chordata; Mammalia; Primates; Hominidae
Description: processed transcript
Source: RNAcentral
GGAUGGCUCUUUGCAGACACCUUCUCCACCAAGAGCUCAGGAACCGAGUGAAUGCUGGGCAGGGCGUCAUAUUCUCUGAGGUGGUGACCAUCGCUAUGUGAACAACUACACGAACAGCUUCGGGGGUGAGUGGAGUGCACCGGACACCAUGAAGAGAUACUCCAUGUACCUGACACCCAAAGGUGGGGUCCGGACAUCAUACCAGCCCUCGUCUCCUGGCCGCUUCACCAAGGAGACCACCCAGAAGAAUUUCAACAAUCUCUAUGGCACCAAAGGUAACUACACCUCCCGGGUCUGGGAGUACUCCUCCAGCAUUCAGAACUCUGACAAUGACCUGCCCGUCGUCCAAGGCAGCUCCUCCUUCUCCCUGAAAGGCUAUCCCUCCCUCAUGCGGAGCCAAAGCCCCAAGGCCCAGCCCCAGACUUGGAAAUCUGGCAAGCAGACUAUGCUGUCUCACUACCGGCCAUUCUACGUCAACAAAGGCAGUGGGAUUGGGUCCAACGAAGCCCCAUGAGCUCCUGGCGGAAGGAACGAGGCGCCACACCCCUGCUCUUCCUUCUGACCCUGCUGCUCUUGCCUUCUAAGCUACUGUGCUUGUCUGGGUGGGAGGGAGCCUGGUCCUGCACCUGCCCUCUGCAGCCCUCUGCCAGCCUCUUGGGGGCAGUUCUGGCCUCUCCGACUUCCCCACUGGCCACACUCCAUUCAGACUCCUUUCCUGCCUUGUGACCUCAGAUGGUCACCAUCAUUCCUGUGCUCAGAGGCCAACCCAUCACAGGGGUGAGAUAGGUGGGGCCUGCCCUAACCCGCCAGCCUCCUCCUCUCAGGCUGGAUCUGGGGGCUAGCAGUGAGUACCCGCAUGGUGUCAGCCUGCCUUUCCCGCCCACGCCCUGCUGUCUCCAGGCCUAUAGACGUUUCUCUCCAAGGCCCCAUCCCCCAAUGUUGUCAGCAGAUGCCUGGACAGCACAGCCACCCAUCUCCCAUUCACAUGGCCCACCUCCUGCUUCCCAGAGGACUGGCCCUACGUGCUCUCUCUGGUCCUACCUAUCAAUGCCCAGCAUGGCAGAACCUGCAGCCCUUGGCCACUGCAGAUGGAAACCUCUCAGUGUCUUGACAUCACCCUACCCAGGCGGUGGGUCUCCACCACAGCCACUUUGAGUCUGUGGUCCCUGGAGGGUGGCUUCUCCUGACUGGCAGGAUGACCUUAGCCAAGAUAUUCCUCUGUUCCCUCUGCUGAGAUAAAGAAUUCCCUUAACAUGAUAUAAUCCACCCAUGCAAAUAGCUACUGGCGCAGCUACCAUUUACCAUUUGCCUACAGAAUUUCAUUCAGUCUAUACUUUGGCAUUCUCUCUGGCGAUGGAGUGUGGCUGGGCUGACCGCAAAAGGUGCCUUACACACUGCCCCCACCCUCAGCCGUUGCCCCAUCAGAGGCUGCCUCCUCCUUCUGAUUACCCCCCAUGUUGCAUAUCAGGGUGCUCAAGGAUUGGAGAGGAGACAAAACCAGGAGCAGCACAGUGGGGACAUCUCCCGUCUCAACAGCCCCAGGCCUAUGGGGGCUCUGGAAGGAUGGGCCAGCUUGCAGGGGUUGGGGAGGGAGACAUCCAGCUUGGGCUUUCCCCUUUGGAAUAAACC